RNAcentral lists this unclassified non-coding RNA (348 nucleotides) under soil metagenome. RNAcentral's name for it is "partial contains 5.8S ribosomal RNA, internal transcribed spacer 2, and large subunit ribosomal RNA". The stretch from base 1 to 120 matches the Rfam family "5.8S ribosomal RNA", at positions 35 to 154 of the family's 154-position model. The record is from RNAcentral.
GAUGAAGAACGCAGCAAAAUGCGAUAAGUAAUGUGAAUUGCAGAAUUCAGUGAAUCAUCGAAUCUUUGAACGCACAUUGCGCCCGCUGGUAUUCCGGCGGGCAUGCCUGUUCGAGCGUCAUUUGAACCCUCAAGCCCCCGGGUUUGGUGUUGGGGAUCGGCUCUGCCCUUCUGGGCGGUGCCGCCCCCGAAAUACAUUGGCGGUCUCGCUGCAGCCUCCAUUGCGUAGUAGCUAACACCUCGCAACUGGAACGCGGCGCGGCCAUGCCGUAAAACCCCAACUUCUGAAUGUUGACCUCGGAUCAGGUAGGAAUACCCGCUGAACUUAAGCAUAUCAAUAAGCGGAGGA